UACGAAGGGGGCUAGCGUUGCUCGGAAUUACUGGGCGUAAAGCGUGCGCAGGCGGUUGUGCAAGACCGAUGUGAAAUCCCCGGGCUUAACCUGGGAAUGGCAUUGGUGACUGCACGGCUAGAGUGUGUCAGAGGGGGGUAGAAUUCCACGUGUAGCAGUGAAAUGCGUAGAGAUGUGGAGGAAUACCGAUGGCGAAGGCAGCCCCCUGGGAUAACACUGACGCUCAUGCACGAAAGCGUGGGGAGCAAACAGG
RNAcentral lists this ribosomal RNA (253 nucleotides) under uncultured bacterium. RNAcentral's name for it is "partial 16S ribosomal RNA". It matches the Rfam family "Bacterial small subunit ribosomal RNA", at positions 524 to 776 of the family's 1533-position model. The record is from RNAcentral.